Molecule: ribosomal RNA, 484 nt
Filed under: uncultured bacterium
Lineage: Bacteria
Description: partial 16S ribosomal RNA
Rfam family: Bacterial small subunit ribosomal RNA
Source: RNAcentral
AUUGAACGCUGGCGGCAGGCCUAACACAUGCAAGUCGAGCGGAUGAAGGGAGCUUGCUCCUGGAUUCAGCGGCGGACGGGUGAGUAAUGCCUAGGAAUCUGCCUGGUAGUGGGGGAUAACGUCCGGAAACGGGCGCUAAUACCGCAUACGUCCUGAGGGAGAAAGUGGGGGAUCUUCGGACCUCACGCUAUCAGAUGAGCCUAGGUCGGAUUAGCUAGUUGGUGGGGUAAAGGCCUACCAAGGCGACGAUCCGUAACUGGUCUGAGAGGAUGAUCAGUCACACUGGAACUGAGACACGGUCCCGACUCCUACGGGAGGCAGCAGUGGGGAAUAUUGGACAAUGGGCGAAAGCCUGAUCCAGCCAAGCCGCGUGUGUGAAGAAGGUCUUCGGAUUGUAAAGCACUUUAAGUUGGGAGGAAGGGCAGUAAGUUAAUACCUUGCUGUUUUGACGUUACCAACAGAAUAAGCACCGGCUAACUUCGUG